RNAcentral lists this non-coding RNA (45 nucleotides) under Schistosoma mansoni. The record is from RNAcentral. Lineage: Eukaryota; Metazoa; Platyhelminthes; Trematoda; Strigeidida; Schistosomatidae.
AUCCAGUUGACGUGUUCCACGUAGGGCGAAACGCGCAUCCUGGAU